GGGACGAGUGAUGGAUCGCUUCGCAGCCUAUACACAGACAGACUCUCUUCUGUCCUUCAUCAAGCUGUGGGGAAAGUCUCCGGACACUGUGCACCAGAAGGGAAGAGCUAGCUCUCGAGCUAAGCUCUCUUGAUUCUUUGGUUCAAAAUGCUGGGCUGGGCUCCUUGUCAAGUCCGCUAGCGAGAACAGUAUCGCUAUAAAGCUCUCCUCGGAUGUCUCCGGCUCUCUGGAAGAGUUUUCAAGGCGGCAUGGCUUGUCGGAUGGAGGAGAAAUGCACUCCAGGUCGGGGGGUCUCGAGGAAAGCUCAAGUCUCCAAGCAGACUUUUAGCAGACCUCCUCGGUUUGGAUGCUACUCCUCGCUGACAUCUACUCGUCAUCGUCGUUGGCCUGACUAGCCACAGAGAUCAGGAUCGCUCCCAAGAGGCCAGAUACUUGUUCCUGACAACCCCAGGGGCUUCUUUUUCUUUUGCUUUAGUCCUUGACCAAGUCGACGAGCAGACAGUGACAAUGCUCGUGCCAGCCUCGUAGCUGUCUGCCGGUCAGCCAUUGUCGCCUCACAGCUCGUCGAGAUUGCGUCUGCUGCUGCAAAAGGGGGGCAGCCUCACGUCCGCUUGACGGGAGCUCAUGUCGCUGCAUGGCACAAGACGACUCGUUCGCGCUGUCCAUCUCGUGCGUCACCUGUCUUUGGUCUCUCGUUCACACGAGCCUAUCGUCGCACAUUCGAUCGUCCGAGUUUCUGUUGCCUCGAAAUGGCCUCGCGGCUAAACUAGAUCGACAGCAUGCUCGGCGGUGGGCUGCUUGCGAGGCAGCUGGCAAUAUUGGCAUGGCAGUGACGGGGUCCUGAUCGAGUAGGCGAAGAGACGAGCCGAAAGAGUGUCCCACUUCAACGUCGCUUGCGCUACAACAUUCCUGUUGCUCAGUGAUUGUCUCAAAGAGCGCGGCGGUAGGAGAGCUUGCAGGCCAUCAUGGUCGAGUUGCAGACUUGGUCAGACGCUCAGUGGCGUCGAAUCGUUGGUCAUAUCCGAUAGUUAUGCGAUCGCACUGCCUUUUUCCUUGACGGAGACUCGAUCUGCUUGGAUGAGCAGGCAGACGAGGUAUGGCAGCUGUAACACAAUGGGGCUUACUCUCGCUCGUCC
Molecule: RNase MRP RNA, 1136 nt
Filed under: Mixia osmundae IAM 14324
Lineage: Eukaryota; Fungi; Basidiomycota; Mixiomycetes; Mixiales; Mixiaceae
Description: RNase MRP
Rfam family: RNase MRP
About the family: RNase MRP is an enzymatically active ribonucleoprotein with two distinct roles in eukaryotes.
Source: Rfam by way of RNAcentral